Molecule: long non-coding RNA, 2599 nt
Filed under: Equus asinus (donkey)
Lineage: Eukaryota; Metazoa; Chordata; Mammalia; Perissodactyla; Equidae
Description: lncRNA (ENSEASG00005025348.1)
Source: RNAcentral
CUCGCCUCUUCAACUGCCGCUCUGAUUUCUUACCUAGAUACCAUGGUAGCCUUAACUGGACUCUGCUUAGCCCUGGCUCUCCUUUCAGUCUCCUCGACACACAGCCAGAUGAAGAAGAAUCCUUAAAAAUAGCAUAAAUGCCACCAAAUGACAUUCCACCUAGAUUUGAGCCCACUGCCGAGCGGGGGAGACAGACAGGAGCAGAUGGUGUGGCCGUGGGGCCUGCAAUGGGCCUCACUGAGACCUGAGCUGAGAGAAGGAAACAUCCUGGAGAAGCUGAGACUUCAAGGAGGAGUCGCUUUCCUGGUGAACCCUUGAGGGAGGACCUUCCAGGCAGAGAUUUAGAGACAGACUUCCAACAAGGAAAGCCAGGCCUCUGGCCAAGGACACCCCUGAGCACAGAGCAGAGAGGAGCAGAAACAGGACACUGAAGACAUCCAGGCCGCCCAGACCCACAGACUGCGCCCCGACCCUACCUCCCCUGCAGUUAGUGCAGGAGGAUGGGACAGAGCAAGGUCACCCAUCAGGAUGCUGUCUCUCUAGCGCCCUCUGCCGGGUUCUCAUGAGAAGACCCCCUUGACAGGAGGAGACAAGGAGUCGUUGCAAGGAGCCAGACAGACAGGUGGUGAAGGACAGUGCUGGACAGGUGUGAGACUGCUCUAUGAGGCCAUUCAUCUCAUAAAUAGUUGCUGAGUACCAACGACGUGCCGGGCGCUAUUCCAGUGCCGGGGAUAUGAACGGAUGAGACAAGGCCUUCCUGUGGAGCAAGCAUCCUGGGUGAUCGCAGAGAGAGAAUAAACAAAUACAUAGCGUCGGCAGUAAAAAGCGCUACACGUAGAGAAACAAAACAGAAUAAGAGAUAGGAAGUGAUGCAAAUAGGACUCAAAAUAGGGCACUCAGGGAAGGCCUUAUGAGGAAGUGACCUUUGGGCGAAGAUCUAAAUAAAGCGAGGGAGUGAAGUGUGCAGAUCUCGGAAGGAAGAAUUUUCGGGCAGAGGGGAAGCGAAGGCCAAGGCCCUGAGACGGGAAGAUCCAAGAGAGGCUUUCAAAGCUUACGGUGGAGGAGAAAUGGCUUGUUUGAGAUGAGGAAAGAGGCGGAACAAGGGAAGUAACUUGCCUGAGGUCACAUGGCUUGUCAGUGUCACAGGGCAAGAUUCCAUUCCAGGACUCCCGGAUUCCAGCAUCUCUGCUCCUAACCAGCCAAUCCUUGCUGUCUUCUCCUGCUGGCACGGACUCUGCUAAGAAACAGAAGGUUCAAGAUGGCGACACAGGAAGAUCCUGAACUCACCUCCCCCACAGACACACUGAAUCUACAGCUGCAUAUGGAGCAAUUUCCUCUCAAAAAAACCCUAAAAUCUAGUGGAAAGACUCCUUCGUAUUAGGGAAGUGAGAAAACAAAAAACAAAAAAACAUUGAUGCGAGUAGGAAAGGCUGAGAUAGUCUCACCAUAACCCGCCCUCCCCCCCAGCCACACACAGUGACCCAUAGCCCGAGUGAUCUUAAAACCCAGAGCUUCUCCCCGAGGAACGAAAGGUUUGUACUCCACAUCGGGCACCCCAGCUUUUAAGACCUGCACCUGAGAGAUGCGCCCCCAACACAUCCAGCUUUGAAAAGCAACAGGGCUUGGGCCCAAAAGACCCACAGGGCUGGAGAAACAUCGCUCAAAGGACUCGCUCACCCCGGGGGCCCAGUGCAGAAGCAGCCCUUGGAAAGUGCCCGACUUCCCGUGCUGGAGGUUCAUUCCUAGUUUUCAGGCCUCGGUCUCCAGGGCCCGGAGCUGGUGAGCGCCAUCUUCACCCUCUCCCUAGGCAUUGCUAGAGCCUGCGCCCCCCUCAUUUUUUUUUUUUUUUUUUUUUUUUUGACUCUAGAAGUUUUUCCCCGCAGCGGGCACCAUUUUCCUGCUCUGUCUUGCUAAAGCUGGUGGGCACCGGCUUUUCCUGUCUUUGCUUUUCUCGGCGAUGCCAUAUUUGCGCCCCGCCCCCGCCUCCCCCCAGCCACGCCAUCUUCCGCUCUCCUACUGCGCUCAAAGCGCCAUUGUCUCCUGGAAGGGAGUUUCUACAUGCGUCUGGUGUUCUGGAUUUUACCCGUGGUGACCCAGUUUUGGUGGCUACAGCCCAGGGGAAGUCCCUUGAUCGCCAGGCUCUGAAGGCCAGAGGGGCUUGCUUUCCUGGGUCCCAUGGGACUGUGACAAACGGAGAGACAGUUCUCAGCAGGCGACACCCCCAGGGCACUGCACAGAUAGAGGCUGAAACACCCCCCAUCUUUCUGGGAAAGAGGCCUAUGCGCAUGUCCAGGAGCUUUGGCCUGGGGGAGGCUUCUGGUCUGGCCCCUUCCAGGGACCUAGGGAGUGCUCUCUCAGGGAAUGGAGGGCGUGGACUCAGUCUGCGUUCUCUGCCUGGCUCCAGCUCACUGGUAUCUCAUACAGCUGCCACCCUCAAGGCACAGCAAGAGGCCACAGACCCAGGAACUCAGUCUUUCUGGGAAAGAGGGCUAUUACCUUAUCAUCGCAGCUGCUGCCUGAGGGUCUGGCUUCCAAUCAGCCUGAAUCUAGGUGCUGACUUCAAUCCUCCCCUUUGGGACACUGACCGGUCUUGGCACAC